RNAcentral lists this ribosomal RNA (442 nucleotides) under Pristimantis kichwarum. Its description in RNAcentral is "partial 16S ribosomal RNA". It matches the Rfam family "Bacterial large subunit ribosomal RNA", at positions 1849 to 2573 of the family's 2925-position model. Lineage: Eukaryota; Metazoa; Chordata; Amphibia; Anura; Strabomantidae. The record is from RNAcentral.
GAGGUCCAGCCUGCCCAGUGACAUUCAACGGCCGCGGUAUCCUAACCGUGCAAAGGUAGCGUAAUCACUUGUCCCCUAAAUAGAGACCAGUAUGAAAGGCAUCACGAGGGCUAAACUGUCUCCUUUUUCUAAUCAGUGAACCUAAUCUCCCCGUGAAAAAGCGGGGAUCCCCCUAUAAGACGAGAAGACCCUAUGGAGCUUAAAACAAUUGUGUGUUUUUGGUUGGGGCGACCGCGGAGAAAAACCUAUCCUCCUCAAUGAAAAACAAGCUACAACUUUAAGUAUCAAAAAAUUGACAUCCCUUGACCCAAUAAAUUGAUUAAUGAACCAAGUUACCCUAGGGAUAACAGCACAAUCCACUUUGAGAGCUCCUAUCGACAAGUGGGCUUAUGACCUCGAUGUUGGAUUAGGGUAUCCUAGUGGUGCAGCCGCUACAAAGGUU